AAUGUGACAUGAAGGGAGAAAAAACAGGGGACACUUACGAGAGGCUUGACUAAAAGAGAAGACAUGAGGGGUCAUAGAGACUUCAGGUGGAAGGAAGGUUUCAUUUUGUUUUUAGUACGGGAAAUACUUGAAUGAGUGUAUUGCUAAGGAGAGGUGGAGCUUAAAGAUUCAGAAAAAUCUCAGGACGAAAGAGAGGAUCUUAGAGCAAGGUCCUGGAGGACACAGGAAGAAAUGGGAUCCCGCUGACAUGCCCCUCUUCCUGAAACAUUCUUAGCUCACAUCAGCGGAAACAGACUCUGAGACUCUGAGGUUUUCAUGAAGGAGGAUUACUGGGGGGAGAUCUGAGGAACCAGCCCUGACAGGGAGCCCUCAUGGAAAACGAGGGUGGCUGAGGCAUGGAGGUUUGUACAGUGUCACAGGCAAUGGAGGAAAUUCUUUCCUGAUGGACUCCUUUUUCUUUUCAAAAUGAGAAAUUGUUGAAAAAAAGUGCUCGAGAUCUCCAGAAGAGUGGAAAAGACCUGGAAUGACCUUAGAUGACAGUAGGAAUCACAAGCUGGGAUUAGUUUGUACCCUGGAGGGUGCAACAAAGAUCAGAUGCCAUAAAUCUGUGGUGUUACCAUCUUUUAGGCUGAGUGAUUUUUCCCUAGUCGGGCUCUGCAUCCCAGAAAUACAAGCAGAAGAGGAGGCUGAGGGUGAGGUUAACCUAAGGCACAUUUCUGGGCUUCUGGCCUACUCUCUACUCCUGCUGGGCGCCUGUCUCCAGCUGGGACGAAGGGAAGAGCCUGCAGGUCAUGCCUCUACUUGAAGCUUCCUUCUCUCUCUCAGGGUUGCUAUUUAUUAUGUCUUGGCCAGUGCACCAAUCCAAAAGUUGAAAAAAAGCAGAGUACACAUCAAACCAUUCCCAGAAUCAAACUCUAGGAUGAUUUAAAGAUCAGUGAGUCAGAUACAUGUGGAUUAAAUUUUCCUCUAACUACAUACUUGGUUAGAAAAUCCUAGCCUGGGACUUGGAAGUGAUGGGUCCUGUUUGGGACACCCAAGUUGCUAUAAAGGGGUACAACGUGUGUUCAGUUCCAGUCCCUGGAUCAUCAGGCAAGGUCUGAAAACCUCUGUUUGAGACGGCAUAAAUUCCCAGGACUGCAGACCACUGGACCAAACUUCUAGGAGGCAAGACUUGUGGACCCUGGUGAGAACCCAAGCCAAACCUUUCAUGGGGCCAGCCUUGGGAGAAACUGGCCCUGCUUGGCUGGCUUCUGCUACCGUCACUCAUCCUUUCUAAGUGACAGCAGCCUUGAGGCCACAAAACAAAGGCCAAAAUGGCUUCAAGGACAGUAAGCUGAAGAUUUCAAAAGAUUGUGACUUCCGUUCUGCUGGCUGACCAUCUCUCCAGCCUUCUCAGCUUGCACAUCUCCAUGAAGCAAGCUGCCAUGUUGGCAAGACCUACGUGGCAAGGAUUUGAGAGCAUCCUCUGGCCAGCAGCAAGCUAGGAACCGAGGCCCUCAGUCCAACAACCCUCAAGGGACUGAAUUCUGCCAACAAACACGUGAACUUGGAUGUGGAUCCUUCCCCAGGUGAGCCUUCAGACGAAAUGCCAACCUUGGCCAAAAUUUUGGUUACAGCCUUGUGAGAGAUUCUAAAGAAAGGACCUGGCUAAGUUGUGCCCUGGCUCUUGGCCCACAGAAACUGUGAGAUAAUAAAAGUGUGUUGUUUUAAACCA
Molecule: long non-coding RNA, 1714 nt
Organism: Pan troglodytes (chimpanzee)
Lineage: Eukaryota; Metazoa; Chordata; Mammalia; Primates; Hominidae
Exons: 2
Source: RefSeq, a predicted model, not a curated record